RNAcentral lists this ribosomal RNA (449 nucleotides) under uncultured bacterium. RNAcentral's name for it is "partial 16S ribosomal RNA". It matches the Rfam family "Bacterial small subunit ribosomal RNA", at positions 338 to 795 of the family's 1533-position model. The record is from RNAcentral.
CCUACGGGAGGCUGCAGUGGGGAAUUUUGGACAAUGGGCGCAAGCCUGAUCCAGCAAUGCCGCGUGCAGGAUGAAGGCCUUCGGGUUGUAAACUGCUUUUGUACGGAGCGAAACGGUCUCUUUUAAUACAGGGGGCUAAUGACGGUACCGUAAGAAUAAGCACCGGCUAACUACGUGCCAGCAGCCGCGGUAAUACGUAGGGUGCGAGCGUUAAUCGGAAUUACUGGGCGUAAAUUGUGCGCAAGAGGUGAAAUCCCCGGGCUUAACCUGGGACCUGCAUUUGUGACUGCAAGGCUGGAGUACGGUAGAGGGGGAUGGAAUUCCGCGUGUAGCAGUGAAAUGCGUAGAUAUGCGGAGGAACACCGAUGGCGAAGGCAAUCCCCUGGACCUGUACUGACGCUCAUGCACGAAAGCGUGGGGAGCAAACAGGAUUAGAUACCCUAGUAGUC